Long non-coding RNA from Cryptotermes secundus, 377 nucleotides. RefSeq lists it as uncharacterized. The transcript is spliced from 2 exons. The record is from RefSeq and is a predicted model, not a curated record. Lineage: Eukaryota; Metazoa; Arthropoda; Insecta; Blattodea; Kalotermitidae.
CUCCAAGUUCGCUACAAUGAGGACUGCCGUGUUCCUGUUUGCAAUUCUGGUCGUGCUCGGCACCUUCAUCGCACAGUACCCUGCAGUGUACCGGACAUCAUAGUCACGGAAUUUCACGUUAAUUCUCAAAUGGAGACGACCAGCUGCAGAUGGACCACUUCUUAUCCUCAAGGGGAUUACACACGCACACUUUUGUUCACGUUAAGUUUCUAUGCCAAAUAUUUGCUGUAACUACUGCUUACUGACUGUGUAAGUAGUUUAAAUUAAACAAUUCAAAUCACUAGGUAUUUCUAUUUCACUUCACUUGUAAUGUUAUAUUAAAAUAUGAAUAUGAAAUUACAUGUAAUUUAGAAUGUGAAUAAAAAUAAUCAAACGCA